AAUCAUCAAACCCGUUCGGUUUCACCGCCGAGCGUGGUUUGGAUUUGGGGGCUUGCCGCUUCGCCGCGGCUCCCCUUAAAUGAAUCGGUCUCGGGUCUCUGUGGGAGUAACCCCUUGGGCGUUGUAUAACCCUCGCUGUCUGGGAACUCCUCGCGACGUUCGCGUUGUCGAAGGGCCUUGAAGGAACCUAGACCUGCCGUAGAGUGGCGGUCAAUGUUAAAUCGAGAU
Molecule: unclassified non-coding RNA, 228 nt
Filed under: uncultured Trechispora
Lineage: Eukaryota; Fungi; Basidiomycota; Agaricomycetes; Polyporales; Polyporaceae
Description: sequence contains ITS2
Source: RNAcentral